AUAAACUAUGCAUGUAGAUCAUUGUUAGUAACAGCUUUUUCUUUGCUAUGGAAAAUUUCAAACAUAUAUAAAAGUAGAAAGAAUGGUAUGUAUAAUGAAUCUCCAUGCCCCAUCACCCAACUUCAAAAAUUGUCCACUCAGCUAAUCCUACUCAUCUAUAGCCCCACCAUAACUCCCCAAUCAUACACACAUCACUAGCACCUGAUUAUUUUGAAGCAAAUUCCAG
This 226-nucleotide long non-coding RNA is filed under the name Homo sapiens (human). Its description in RNAcentral is "HSALNT0237262". Lineage: Eukaryota; Metazoa; Chordata; Mammalia; Primates; Hominidae. The record is from RNAcentral.